This 1178-nucleotide long non-coding RNA is filed under the name Anser cygnoides (Swan goose). Its description in RNAcentral is "lncRNA (ENSACDG00005001951.1)". The record is from RNAcentral. Lineage: Eukaryota; Metazoa; Chordata; Aves; Anseriformes; Anatidae.
AUUUAACUUCAAGAGUCUUAAUGCAAGAGUCACUCUCUUACACAUUGUAGAAGUGAUGUAGGCGUAAACAAUAACUGUGAGAAUUUUUAAAUAGGAAAGAGGUGGUUUGUGAAAGAGCCAAAUACAAUAAAUGUUGAGGUACAAAUGUCAAGGCACACAAUUUAUGUAACGGAAAAAGGUGUUUGGAAGAUAUUACAGAUGAAGAUCUUGUGGGAAAGACAUACUUAGUUUUGUCCUCCAAACUUCUCAGAGGAAAUCCUGACAAAUAUUUCAGAUGAAAGUUUUAAGAUAGUCUGCAGCUAUUCCCCAAAGUCUUAUACAAGCCUCACUAGCUUAGGUGAAGAAUUAAGACUUAUUCAACUAUUGCCAGUUGUCAUCUUAGUGUAAUUGAUUCAGUGUGCAAACAGAGCCUGUAUCUCAUCUUAUCAACAGCUGAAGUAACUCCAAGCUGCUUGGGCUUUCAGGUUUUUCAGGUUUCUUUGAAAUAUGUGUCUCUUACACAUCUCUUGUCCAAAUGGAUACUGGUCAAUCAUGAAAAAUCAAGGGACUGAGAGGUGAGGAGCAUUUCUUCUCCCUUCUUGAUGGCACAGACUGUGUUCAGUGUAUGUCAGUUAUGGCAAACUUGAGCAGCACAUUUUUGGCAAAGGUAUUGGCUAAAUGCAACAACUGUUGUUGAAGUUUUCCUGCUCAGCAUUGUGUUUAAUCUCUGUCACUGUUAAAUCUUAGCAAGGUCCACUGUCUCUGGAGAAGGCACAACGUCUAGGGGUGCACUCAUAUGUUCAAGAGCUAUUUUGCUAAGUUUUAGAGCUGAAAUUGUGACUGCUAAUGAUUCUUAUUUUUGUGAUUGAGUCAUUGAAAUGUUCCCCAGAUUUUUGAUUCAACACUAAACGUCUUUUUUUGGCCUUGGAUAUAUUGAAACAGUUAAGCUUGUAGAUGUUAGUCCAGAUGGAAUUGAAACCAGAUUUCUGAGGCAAGGAGACUAAAGUAACAAAUUAUUGACAUAUUUCAUUACUUCCACCACAGUCUAAAAUAUUGGACAAAUAAGUAAUAUAAAUUCACAGCUUAGAUAGCUUUUGGAACAAAGGGAGGCCAUGAAUUCUUUAUGGUCAAACAUGAUAUCUAAUCACUCAACUAACAACACUUUGCUUAAAACUGCAGAUGUCAUUUUUUCAUUUUUA